GCAUGUUUUUGGAAUGUGGGAGGAAACCGGAGCACCCGGAGAAAACCCACGCAGGCCCGGGGAGAACAUGCAAACUCCACACAGGGAGGUCGGAGCUGGAAUUGAACCCGGUACCUCUGCACUGUGAAGCCGACGUGCUAACCACUGGACUACCGGGCCGCCCACAACAAAAAUAAAUACAUAAAAAUAA
This is a long non-coding RNA of Hippocampus zosterae (dwarf seahorse), 190 nucleotides long. RefSeq lists it as uncharacterized. Lineage: Eukaryota; Metazoa; Chordata; Actinopteri; Syngnathiformes; Syngnathidae. The transcript has 2 exons. The record is from RefSeq and is a predicted model, not a curated record.